This 252-nucleotide ribosomal RNA is filed under the name uncultured bacterium. RNAcentral's name for it is "partial 16S ribosomal RNA". It matches the Rfam family "Bacterial small subunit ribosomal RNA", at positions 524 to 776 of the family's 1533-position model. The record is from RNAcentral.
UACGUAAGGACCGAGCGUUGUCCGGAAUCAUUGGGCGUAAAGGGUACGUAGGUGGUUAGAAAAGUUAGAAGUGAAAGGCUAUAGCUCAACUAUAGUAAGCUUUUAAAACUGUUUAACUUGAGAGAUGGAAGGGAAAGUGGAAUUCCUAGUGUAGCGGUGAAAUGCGCAGAUAUUAGGAGGAAUACCGGUGGCGAAGGCAGCUCACUGGGGUAUAACUGACGCUGAUGCACGAAGGUGUGGGUAUCAAACAGG